Molecule: non-coding RNA, 262 nt
Filed under: Paenibacillus uliginis
Lineage: Bacteria; Bacillati; Bacillota; Bacilli; Caryophanales; Paenibacillaceae
Description: T-box sequence
Rfam family: T-box leader
About the family: Uncharged tRNA acts as the effector for transcription antitermination of genes in the T-box leader family.
Source: RNAcentral
GUAUUUCCGAGGAAGAGAUAAGUACGAAAGGCAAGCCUUGUACAGAGAGCCGGGGUAGCUGCAAACCGGUCUGGGCGUAUUUCGGAAUAUGGUCUUGGAGGAACCGCUUUUGAGCGAUCCAGUAUUCUCUGGCGUAAAGGAGCGGCGUGAUCCAGCGUUAAUGGACGGUCGUUCUUUCUUUAGAGAUGACCGGUGAGCCUGGAACCCGUAAGGGUACAGGGAAAUUGGGUGGUAACACGUGAGAACAACUCUCGUCCCAUAG